Molecule: ribosomal RNA, 425 nt
Filed under: uncultured bacterium
Lineage: Bacteria
Description: partial 16S ribosomal RNA
Rfam family: Bacterial small subunit ribosomal RNA
Source: RNAcentral
GUGGGGAAUCUUGCGCAAUGGGCGAAAGCCUGACGCAGCCAUGCCGCGUGAAUGAUGAAGGUCUUAGGAUUGUAAAAUUCUUUCACCGGGGACGAUAAUGACGGUACCCGGAGAAGAAGCCCCGGCUAACUUCGUGCCAGCAGCCGCGGUAAUACGAAGGGGGCUAGCGUUGCUCGGAAUUACUGGGCGUAAAGGGCGCGUAGGCGGAUCGUUAAGGCAGGGGUGAAAUCCCAGAGCUGAACUCUGGAACUGCCCUUGAUACUGGCGAUCUUGAGUGUGAGAGAGGUAUGUGGAACUCCGAGUGUAGAGGUGAAAAUCGUAGAUAUUCGGAAGAACACCAGUGGCGAAGGCGACAUACUGGCUCAUUACUGACGCUGAGGCGCGAAAGCGUGGGGAGCAAACAGGAUUAGAAACCCGGGUAGUCC